UGGCGGACGGGUGAGUAAUGUCUGGGAAACUGCCCGAUGGAGGGGGAUAACUACUGGAAACGGUAGCUAAUACCGCAUAACGUCGCAAGACCAAAGAGGGGGACCUUCGGGCCUCUUGCCAUCGGAUGUGCCCAGAUGGGAUUAGCUAGUAGGUGGGGUAACGGCUCACCUAGGCGACGAUCCCUAGCUGGUCUGAGAGGAUGACCAGCCACACUGGAACUGAGGCACGGUCCAAG
This 236-nucleotide ribosomal RNA is filed under the name uncultured bacterium. RNAcentral describes it as "partial 16S ribosomal RNA". It matches the Rfam family "Bacterial small subunit ribosomal RNA", at positions 96 to 335 of the family's 1533-position model. The record is from RNAcentral.